This is a long non-coding RNA of Oreochromis aureus, 2909 nucleotides long. The record is from Ensembl. Lineage: Eukaryota; Metazoa; Chordata; Actinopteri; Cichliformes; Cichlidae.
CUGUGGUCCUGUUGUUUGGAACAAGCAUCCCACUGACUUGAGAGGCUCUCAGUGGAUUAUGAGGCACUGUUGAAAGAACACAAAGAUGUGAAGCAAAAGCUGGAAGCCUCUAAAGCCAGGAGCAAAACUCUAUCUGCUGAAGUCAAAACUCUGAAGCAUCAAAUAUCAACCCUGAUGGAGAAGGGGAAACACGAUGAUGAGUUCGUGGCUGCUUUGAUGAAGCAGCAGGCCCAGAUGCAAACGGUAUUAAAACGACUCAGCCAAAAACAAAACGUACAGAGCAAGGUGAUGCAGCAGAGUGUAGGACAACAGCUGAGCAACAUACCUUCAGAGCACAGUGCUAUCGUCCAGAGAUUUAAGGAGAUACUUGCUGAGAAAGAUGCCAUUAUCAAAAAACUACAGAAAAGCCAGCAAUUCUCUGAUAAGGUGUUGAAGAACGAUGAUGUGCACAGACAGCCCAGCAUCAGGAUAACAAACUGUACUUCUCCUGUUUCCCCAGAAGAGGGAGACAUUACCAAUAGAAUUCCAUCUUCAGGUUCAAUUUCUAAAUUUGGUCACAAACUGGUGCUGCCAGCUGUGGGAAGUGGCAUAGAAUUCACAGAGAAAGUGAUGAGCCACACAUGUUUGGAGGCACAAGUACCAAGAGGAGCACCACACGCCAGUGAUCCUGGAGGAGUUUGAGAGGACAAAAUUAGAUUAAACUCUGUCGGCAGGAGCAGAGUCCCUGAGCACCAUGGAGUCUCUGAGCAACAGGAACUGUCCACAGACAAACCUGAACAGACUGUCCAGCAGUCCAGCUGGCAUUUGUAAACACUUUAUUUCUAACUUUGACAACACUGCCUUAAACUGGUUCUGGUUCAAGAGUUUUCUUUCUCCAACCAUAAGAUUUAACCAGAUGACAGAAAUAAUGAUGUGCGGCAGUAGACACGCUACAGACAGCAGUGCUCGUUCUGCCCGUCACAUCGGGGUUGAGCGGAGAUGUUCAUGUUGUUCUUGUAUGUUGUCUCUUGGCUGGUCAUUCAGCUGGAGGAAACGCGGGCGCUGAGGGCAUCCCUAAAGAGCACUCUCCACCAUGACCUGCAGCUUUCAGUGACGUGAUGAGACAAGUCAGGCAUGUUUUCCUGGAGGCUCUGUGACAGCACAGACAAGACACUAACCAGGGGAACUGGCUGGUCCCUGCUCAGCCUCACUUCCAGCUGAGCCCUACCUUCUCCUGUCACAUGUGACAAACAGCAGCCUGCAGGAGAAAGAAAAAAAAAAAACUCUCCUCUUCAGCCACACAAACAUUAUAUGCAUCUCUGACUUUCUCUCUAUUUGAGCCCCGAAAGACAGUUUGUGACGUAAGGUCGGGUGACCUCGGUUUAACGACUUAAGUACCUUGAGUAGAAUAGCUUUCAACUUAACCCUGAUGGCAUCAGACAAGUGUCCCGAGUGAUUGCAGGAGCGGUCGGCACUGAUAAGACGUCUCCCCGUGGUUUCACAUCUCGUCUGCUCGCUGUUUUAUAAAUGUCACUGUCACAUUUUAUUAAAUAUAUGUUUGUCUUUCCUCGGCUGGUAACCUUAAAUGCAUUACAGGUAUCGAGACCAAUGCUGUCUGUUUUCAAAGCAAAUAUUUUCUGUAAACCAAAGAAACAUCCAAAUUAAUCAGUGAAAAGGAACCGAACCCUCACCAAAUAUUUUCGAUACAUUGUUUACCUUCAUGGCGAUGACUUUGGUUGAUUUUUUUUCUUUCUUUUUUUUAAGGUUUUUUUUGGCUCCAUACAGUUGUAAAUAAAUGUGCGACAGGCCAGGCUAAAUAGUAAUCACCGCAGUUAAGUUCCCAAAACGUUUCAAUAUUCCUAUUAAAUAUUAACGCUAAUCAUUUCUGACUUGAAACCAGUUUUGUGGGAAUAGCGGUUGAAAAUAACUGCAAACUCAAGCUGCACAAACUCCCACUGUAGUCCUCUAUACAUUCCCCAGAGCAGGUCACACAUGUACAGUAUAUGGCUCUUAAUCCAAAGGUUGUCUGGAUAUGCCCAGUGGGAGUGGCCCUUACAUUCAUACUAACAUCCGAGUUAUUUUCUUCCGAUGUAGCCAAAAGGGUUUCAGCAGAACAUCCCCCCCUUUCCUCCCUCUCCACAUCACGCUUAAUUUAAAACCAUGGCUGAGUUAGUGUGCUGCUUCAAAUACCGCACUAUGUCUUCCAGGACCCUGUGGGAGAUUGGCAGGUCCCCAUUGGACUGAGCGAGAAAGUGCCACAAGACAAAAAUAUCAGAGUUUGGACAUGAUGAAGAAAGCCUUUAUGCUCAGAGUAACAAAAAACAGCUUGUGUUUGAAUACCUCCUGGAUGGAAGGUGAGGCGCUCUUUAAUGCAACAGAGUGAGACGUGUCACCGUAAGAGCAAGAUGAGAGACGAGCAGAUGAAGAUUGCCAGAUACGUAUCAAGUGAGGAAAUGUGCGUCAGAAAGGGUGUUGAUGGAGCAAAUGCUUGUCACGGUCCCUAACUGCGUCUGAUUGCCAGGAAAGCGUUCAACUUCAUAUGGGUUUUUUUUGGGGGGGGGGGUCAUUUUCGAACUUUGCCACAAAACUGUACUUUAUAUGAAGCCAGCGUUUGAGCAUUUUGUCAAACCUGUAAUCGUAUUUAAUUUUAACGCAGUGCAUGACUGCAAGAGGGACAUCAUUUCCAUCCUUUUUCUGUGAGCUUUUCUUUUUCAGACAUGUUAUACUGAAGUUUCAGUUGACCUAAUAUCAGGGAUUAAUGUGACUACUCAUGUUGACUUCAGUUAUUUAAGAGUGUCAUCACUUUCAAAUAAAUUACACCUCGCCAGACAAUUUUAUUAUUGUUUUAUGUAGCUGUAUUACGCAGAAAGGUGUAGAUUUAUUCCAAAAUGCCCAAUAACCCACCAAACCAAACACAAACUUAUGUAAAC